AGGGUUUUAAGUUAAAUAAACUAUUAGCCUUCAAAGCUUUAAAUAAAGAUCAUUUCUUUACUCCCUG
Molecule: transfer RNA, 67 nt
Filed under: Desmaulus extinctorium
Lineage: Eukaryota; Metazoa; Mollusca; Gastropoda; Littorinimorpha; Calyptraeidae
Description: tRNA-Trp
Rfam family: tRNA
About the family: Transfer RNA (tRNA) molecules are approximately 80 nucleotides in length. Their secondary structure includes four short double-helical elements and three loops (D, anti-codon, and T loops).
Source: RNAcentral